GCAUCAUUAGGCUCAUCCAAAGAACAGCCCAAGGACCCAAUUGACGAAGCCACAGAAGGUCCAUCGAUGGACCUAAUGGGCGUCGAUUGUGGUCAUGUUGCAGGCUGUUGGAAGCUGCCUGGCGAGUGUUUCAUUAAAGGGGUGAAUGGGAAAUUCACCCCACGUCCUAACCUGACCCUAUUAGGUUUAUUUGGUUAUUUUUGGGUGUGUUGAAGGGAUAAAAAACGUGAUCAACCCCACUCCCAAUACAAUUCACCAAAUUAGACUUUUUCCUCGAAAAAUAUUCUCUCUAGAACCUCCAUUGAAGGUGAAGCUCAAGAAAAACUUGGAGCUUGGAUUCAUAUGGUUUCUUCAUCAGGUUUUGGAGGUUUUAUUCUAUAUUAAGGUAUGGUAAUCCUUCAUCUCUAAUUAACCUUUCACUUGGGGAGUUCAUCAAAAAGUUUUUCAAUGAAGUUCCAUGAUCAAAUCUCUUCUUCUUCAAUAUAGACAUGGGUUAUUUAUAAAAACAUUUUCAAAGGCUUAAUCAUGAUUAAUUGAUGAUAAUAUAUUUUAACGUGAAAUUCAAUCUAAUUGCAUGAUGAACCCAUGUCCCUUCCCAAACUUGAUUUAGCCCUUGCAUGGGCAUUGUGAUCGUUUGUUAAUAGUUGAAUUGUUAUUCUAUUACGUUGAAUUGCUCAUGUCUACUGUUAUUUAAGUAUAUUGAUGAUGAAUUUUUUAUCAAUGAUCUAAUUGGAUUAAUGUAUGAAGAUUUGAACAUGACUAGCUUAGGUAUCUAUGUGUUCAUUGUACCAUUGUAAGUAUAAUGUAUAAAAUUGGAAUUCAAUUAUGAUAGGAUGCUUGUAGAUACUGCCUUGUUUUGUUUAUUGAUGAAUUAUGGGUAUAAACCCAAGGUGUAUCAAUGUGUGAUAGUUUGAAUAGGAUUAACCUAUGUAAAAUUAUCUUCCAUAAAUUCCUAAGAUGAGGCAUGCUUACAGUGAUUUCGAGUUUAUUGGCAAUUGAGUAGGAUCUUGUUUAGGCUAUAAUUUCUUAAACUACUGACCUACAUGUAAAUUAUUUAUGAAUUUUCAUUGAUAAUCAAUACUAGGGAAAUUUGUUAAUGAUCUAUACCUAUCUAUUCUCUAGAGUAAUGGUGAUUUUUUGCACUAGUUGUAUCAUGAUCUUGUAACAAUAUCUACAUGGUUUCUUUCACGAUUCCAGUACAUUUAGAUACUUCCCUAUACAUGUAUGUUUAUAAAAAAAAGUGUAUUGAUCAAUGUUGAUCAAAAGGGUUGAUGAAUUGGUAAUGUCUACUCUUUCUCUCUACCUUGCUAUAUUAUUGUAGUUGAUGAAGCCUUGUAUGGCAUCGUGUGGUAUGGUCCACUUAUUGUGGUGGUGCUUACAUUACUGUCAUUAUAUAUGUGAUGUGAUCAUGGCCUUGAAGGCAAAUUAUAUAAUGAAUAUGUGUUGGUGAUAAUGACCCAAUGUUAAGUAUCAUGCCUAGUUUCCUAUUCUAGUUGUGAUCUAGGUUGUAUGGCUAUUGUGUAUGCAUGUGUAUGACAAUGUUGGGGUUUGAUUAGGUUCUUCCUUAGAUGAGUAUAAAUGGUUAAUUCUCCCUCGUCCAUGUACCCCUAUGUGAGUAUGUGAAUAAUUAAGUUUAGGAUUCCUAAAUGUAAUGUGAAGAUUGUCUUGUCUCCUUUGCUAAAUUGUGUUGUAGGGUAUAUGCUUGAAAGGGUAAUGCGGUCCUAAGAUGAUGAUUGCCUCAAUGUGUUUUUAAUAGUCAUUACGUGAUCGUGUUGACCAAUGUACACGCACACUCACACAUUAUGCAUGCUUAUCAUCUAGUAAAGGUUCAUAGUAUCUAAUGAAAAGUUGAUCUCACAUUCACUAAAUGUCUACGACUAUUCAUGUAAGGUAAAUGUAUGUGAAGUAUGUUAUGUAUGAUGACUUGAUAGGUGUACUAGUAUGGUCAAGGGUAUGGGACCUUGUUUAUGCAUUGCAUCUCUGUAAUUUGAAUGAAUAGAUCCUAGGUGUAGUCUCUUAUGUGCAUGGAUAUGAAUGCAUUAGUAUGUUAUGAACAUGUCUUUAUAUGAUAUAAUGUGAAGUAUGUGGUAUCAUGAAGUAUGAUUAUACCUAGUGUCUAAAUGUGUUUAUAUGAAAGCAUGGCUCAUAUAGUUAUACUUGUAAAAUUUGCAUGAAUGAAGUAAAGUAUGAACAUGUGUGGUCUAAAGAUGUUAUGUAAAAGGUUUGCUCAAAUGUAGGUGCACACACAUAUAUGAUGAUCUAGUCAAUAGAGAAGCUCUUGGAAGGUGUUCUCAAGAGUAUCCUAAACUAGAUAUGUGCUUGAAUUGCUAUGUCCAUGUUAUAUAGGUUGAUUAAAGGACUUCUCAUCUAUAACCAAUGAGCUAAGCAUAUGAACAGUGUAUCUCCUAUAGCCUAUGUUUUAUGAAGUAAAGUUAAUGAAGGAUUUCUAAUAAAGGAACUUAGCUUAGCACCGAGUGAACUUGAAGUGAGGGGUAUCCCUUCCCCUUAUACGAAGGUAGGUCAACAUAAUACUCAUGAGGUGGAUAACUACAAUGACUCAAUAGGCAUAAAGAGGGUUCCAAAAGUGAAUAAUCAUAAUGCCCCAUUUUGGCAUAAAGAGGGUUUUCACAUAUAUGCCUCCAAGUUUCCAUAACUAUGUUGCCUUAUAGGAUCUAGAAAGUUAUAUCAUUUAAUACGAUAGCAUGAUACUCAUGUCUUACCUUAGCCAGUAAGAUAACCUAUUUUGGUGUUAGGGGGUGACACAAAUUCCAUGUUUGGCUCACAUGGUCUUAUUAUUGGUUAAGGCUAUAUUUUCCCUAAAGUAAAAUGGACAAUGGAAGUAAAGUAAGGACCCUAAAUAGGAUAACCUAAGGUUAGUUGCUUAGUGUAGGUGGGGGAUGGGACUUCACCUAUGCAUUGCACAAGUGGCUCUAGAAGGAAGUUCUAGGGAGGUAUUCUAAUGCAUAUGUCUAUCUAUAUGUUCCUUAUGCAUGACUUUGUAAUAUUUGUCUACUUGUUGUGAUGAAGUGCAUCGUAUCAGUUUUAAUGGAUCUAUGUUAUGUGGUCUUGUCCUUAUAUGCACUAUGUUAGUCUUAAUGACUAUAUGAUGAGGGUCUUGUUAACAUGAAUGAAGUUGCCUUCACUUACUUAUUGAUGCAUGAAAUAGAGUAUUAAGGCUUGUGGUAUUAUGAUAGGUGUACUAAGUAUAUGUGAGGUUAUGGGGCUUCACAUUUACAUUGCACUAGCAGACUUAGAGUAGGAUUGUGAGUAAGGUCUUAUAAUGUAUUGAUGUGAAGUGCAAUUUGUAUAUGUGCAAAGUAGAUAGAAUUCACUGUAAGAUUUCCUAAGGUCUUGGCUUAAUUAUGUCUAUCAUGUGUUAUACUCUAAUGAUGGUAUGUGUUAGCUUAUGUAAAUGGUAUAUAUGGUUUUCCUUUUGACCUUAAGGUGAUGCAUUGCACCAAGUAUUGCUACAAGGAUUACUUGGGAGUUAAGGAAUUGAAGGAAGAAGUUCACGCUAUAAAUAACAAUAGCUCACUGUAAAGUGACCCUAAAGGUGGCUUAAAUUCGAUAUGUGAUUCUACAUGAUGUAUGACUUUUGAAUAUGUUUAUAUGAAGUAUGUGAAUGAUAUAGAUGCUAUUAUAUAAAGGUUUUAUCAAGAUUUACUCAAAAAGACAUGAAAUAUGAUUUCAAGAAAAUGUCCCUUUUUUGUAUGUUUUUGCAUAGUUGUCAUACUUAGUGCAUUCUUGUACUAACUCCAUUCUUCUCUAAUUUAUACACAAAUUUUAGGUUAUGGAUGCUAAAAGGAUGGUUCUUAUGUUGAGGAGCUAGAUAUGUGAUCCCCAAGCUCAAGGAAAAGGAAUCCUUAAGUCCAGGGAUUCCUGAGUCAUGUAUUUACUGUAAAGUGUAUAAGAUUUCUUAUGUAUUAUGUUUUAAUUGCUUUGUACCUAAAGUACUCUUAUGAUGUUGACUCUAGGAUGGCAAAUGAUACUAGAGUCUUUAACUACGUAUGAUGAUAAUUUAUAUAUGUGCUAAGAAUGUUUUAAAUUUUCCGC
Molecule: long non-coding RNA, 4053 nt
Filed under: Solanum lycopersicum (tomato)
Lineage: Eukaryota; Viridiplantae; Streptophyta; Magnoliopsida; Solanales; Solanaceae
Description: long non-coding RNA (SLYC_LNC000277)
Source: RNAcentral